This 253-nucleotide ribosomal RNA is filed under the name uncultured bacterium. RNAcentral's name for it is "partial 16S ribosomal RNA". It matches the Rfam family "Bacterial small subunit ribosomal RNA", at positions 524 to 776 of the family's 1533-position model. The record is from RNAcentral.
UACGUAGGUGGCAAGCGUUGUCCGGAUUUACUGGGUGUAAAGGGUCCGUAGGCGGUGUGGCAAGUCGGGAGUGAAAUCUCUGGGCUUAACCCAGAGGCUGCUUCCGAAACUGCCAUGCUGGAGUGUGGGAGAGGCGAGUGGAAUUGCAGGUGUAGCGGUGAAAUGCGUAGAUAUCUGCAGGAACACCCGUGGCGAAGGCGGCUCGCUGGACCACAACUGACGCUGAGGAACGAAAGCUAGGGGAGCAAACAGG